Molecule: small RNA, 299 nt
Filed under: Bacillota bacterium
Lineage: Bacteria; Bacillati; Bacillota
Description: Firmicutes bacterium T-box sequence
Rfam family: T-box leader
About the family: Uncharged tRNA acts as the effector for transcription antitermination of genes in the T-box leader family.
Source: RNAcentral
UACUUGUUGAUGAAGGAGAGCAGUAGGCGGAGACGCCUUCAUAGAGAGCCGGUAAAGGUGAAAGCCGGCAGGCUGAACUGCUGAACUCACUCUGGAGACGCAGCGGUGAAAGACAGUAAUCGCUGCCGCAAAGCCGGCGUUAACGGUUUAGAGCGGGCAGCAGCAUAACGGGGGGCUGUGGCGCAGUGGGAGCGCGCUUCCUUGGCAUGGAAGAGGUCGCGGGUUCAACUCCCGCCAGCUCCACCAUCUGUUUGGCCAAUAAGGGUGGUACCGCGGGUAUAAACAAAUCCGUCCCUUGA